CUUCCGCGGUUGCGAGGCGCCGGCCGGCGGUGGCGCGGCCGGGCUGCGGGAGCGGGGGCGGCGCCUUCUCCGCCGGGGACGGGCACGGGCGGGUGCGAGCGGGAUGGAGCCGUGACCAGUGACUGAGGAGAGAGCUGCUGGCAUGGAAGUGAGCUGGGUUUGUCCGUGGGAACUGUGAGUAAGGUUGCCAUCACGAAAGCCAAAGUGGAUUUCUCCGGGGUGGUGUGCCUGCCCCCUUCCGUCAUUGCUGGGAAUGGGCUGGACGGAGGAGGGGCUGGCGACAAUGACGACGAGCCGGUGCUGGUGUCCCUUUCGGCGGCCCC
Haemorhous mexicanus (house finch) is the source of this 323-nucleotide long non-coding RNA. RefSeq lists it as uncharacterized. The transcript is spliced from 3 exons. Lineage: Eukaryota; Metazoa; Chordata; Aves; Passeriformes; Fringillidae. The record is from RefSeq and is a predicted model, not a curated record.